AGCUGCUUAGCUAAAAAAUGUUAAUCGGAAGAAGCAAAAGUGGUUGGAGUGGUGCCAGUAAGAUGGUAUCGAUAUGAUCUAACGAAAAAAAUAAACCUGUAAAUAAUUUCUCUCUGUAUUUACUUGUUCAAGUGCCAGUGAAACGAACGAUAGAAAAAUAGAAGCAUUCAGUUGGCUUGGAAUUUUUUUUUAAUAUAUUUUAAAUAAUCUGAAUAA
This is a non-coding RNA of Hydra vulgaris (swiftwater hydra), 216 nucleotides long. Lineage: Eukaryota; Metazoa; Cnidaria; Hydrozoa; Anthoathecata; Hydridae. The record is from RefSeq and is a predicted model, not a curated record.